AUUGUGUAUAUAUACAUUUUAGGUUGGUGCAAAAGUAAUUGCGGACUUUGCCAUUUAAAAGAAAAAAGGCAAAAGCCACAAUUACUUUUGCACCAAUUUAAUACAU
This 106-nucleotide microRNA precursor is filed under the name Chlorocebus sabaeus (green monkey). RNAcentral's name for it is "miRNA (ENSCSAG00000022546.1)". Lineage: Eukaryota; Metazoa; Chordata; Mammalia; Primates; Cercopithecidae. The record is from RNAcentral.